Molecule: long non-coding RNA, 226 nt
Filed under: Elaeis guineensis (African oil palm)
Lineage: Eukaryota; Viridiplantae; Streptophyta; Magnoliopsida; Arecales; Arecaceae
Description: long non-coding RNA (EGUI_LNC044623)
Source: RNAcentral
GACCAGAGCAGAGUGAAUAGUAAAAAGGACUUUCCAUAUACUUCACAUCAAAAAUUCAAGUCAAGUAAACUUUAUAUAUGGCAGAUGUUGUGGUUUGAUGAGUUAUCCAUAAUCUACAUCUAGUUGGAACCCUGAUAGAAGGAAUGUAUCACAUGAUAACGGUACCUAGAGGUUCUUCCUAUUUCAUUCUGCUAGUUUGCCAUCAUAUACUUCUAGGUGUCACUGG